RNAcentral lists this long non-coding RNA (252 nucleotides) under Hordeum vulgare. RNAcentral describes it as "long non-coding RNA (HVUL_LNC015879)". The record is from RNAcentral. Lineage: Eukaryota; Viridiplantae; Streptophyta; Magnoliopsida; Poales; Poaceae.
UUUUCUUUUUCUUUGGGUCAAGGUAGAAUACCAUGGUUACAAUGUUUAGUGGCUCUCGCAUGCAUACCUGUUUAGCUUUCAAAGAGCCAUAUCACUUUGUCUUCUACUUUGUGUUUGCCAGCAGAUUCCAGCUUUAGUCCAAUGCGCGAGCACUCUUAUUAUUGUUCACAUCAUUCGGUCGUGCAAGUGAAAGGCAAUAAUGACGAUAUAUGAUGAAGUGAGUAAGCCUGGAAAAGCUAGUAUGAACUCGAU